Molecule: transfer RNA, 66 nt
Filed under: Homola orientalis
Lineage: Eukaryota; Metazoa; Arthropoda; Malacostraca; Decapoda; Homolidae
Description: tRNA-Thr
Source: RNAcentral
GUUUAAAAAGUUUAAUUCAAAACUUUGGUCUGGUAAACCAAAAAGGAAAUAAUAUUUCUUAAAACU